Molecule: long non-coding RNA, 3234 nt
Organism: Oncorhynchus kisutch (coho salmon)
Lineage: Eukaryota; Metazoa; Chordata; Actinopteri; Salmoniformes; Salmonidae
Source: Ensembl
AUGAGGAACAAGGAGAAUCAUAGCAGAUUGGAAUGUAUAGUUAAAAUAGUAUUUAACUCAAGUGUAGUGUAUAACUCCAGUGUAGUGUAUAAUAACUCCAGUGUAGUGUAUAACUCCAGUGCAGUGUAUAAUAACUCCAGUGUAGUGUACAACCCCAGUGUAGUGUAUAACUCCAGUGUAGUGUAUAACUCCAGUGUAGUGUAUAAUAACUCCAGUGUAGUAUAUAACUCCAGUAUAGUGUAUAAUAACUCCAGUGUAGUGUAUAACUCCAGUGUAGUAUAUAACUCCAGUGAAGUGUAUAACUCCAGUGCAGUGUAUAAUAACUACAGUGUAGUAUAUAACUCCAGUGUAGUGUAUAAUAACUACAGUGUAGUAUAUAACUCCAGUGUAGUGUAUAAUAACUCCAGUGUAGUGUAUAAUAACUCCAGUGUAGUAUAUAACACCAGUGUAGUGUAUAAUAACUCCAGUGUAGUGUAUAACUCCAGUGUAGUAUAUAACUCCAGUAUAGUGUAUAACUCCAGUGUAGUGUAUAAUAACUCCAGUGUAGUGUAUAACUCCAGUGUAGUGUAUAACUCCAGUGUAGUAUAUAAUAACCACAGUGUAGUAUAUAAUAACGCCAGUGUAGUAUAUAACACCAGUGUAGUAUAUAACUCCAGUGUAGUAUAUAAUAACUCCAGUGUAGUGUAUAACUCCAGUGUAGUGUAUAACUCCAGUGUAGUAUAUAACUCCAGUAUAGUGUAUAACUCCAGUGUAGUGUAUAAUAACUACAGUGUAGUGUAUAACUCCAGUGUAGUGUAUAACUCCAGUGUAGUAUAUAAUAACUACAGUGUAGUAUAUAAUAACGCCAGUGUAUUAUAUAACACCAGUGUAGUAUAUAACUCCAGUGUAGUAUAUAAUAACUCCAGUGUAGUGUAUAACUCCAGUGUAGUGUAUAACUCCAGUGUAGUGUAUAAUAACUCCAGUGUAGUAUAUAACUCCAGUGUAGUGUAUAAUAACUCCAGUGUAGUGUAUAAUAACUCCAGUGUAGUAUAUAAGUCCAGUGUAGUGUAUAACUCCAGUGUAAUGUAUAACUCCAGUGUAGUAUAUAAUAACUCCAGUUUAGUAUAUAAUAACUCCAGUGUAGUAUAUAACUACAGUGUAGUGUAUAACUCCAGUGUAGUGUAUAAUAACUCCAGUGUAGUGUAUAACUCCAGUGUAGUGUAUAACCCCAGUGUAGUGUAUAACUCCAGUGUAGUAUAUAACUCCAGUGUAGUAUAUAACUCCAGUGUAGUAUAUAACUCCAGUGUAGUAUAUAACUCCAGUGUAGUGUAUAAUAAUGCCAGUGUCUUGUAUAACUCCAGUGUCUUGUAUAACUCCAGUGUAGUAUAUAACUCCAGUGUAGUGUAUAACCCCAGUGUAGUGUAUAACUCCAGUGUAGUGUAUAACCCCAGUGUAGUGUAUAACUCCAGUGUAGUGUAUAACUCCAGUGUAGUGUAUAACCCCAGUGUAGUGUAUAACUCCAGUGUAGUAUAUAACUCCAGUGUAGUGUAUAAUAACUCCAGUGUCUUGUAUAACUCCAGUGUAUUGUAUAACUCCAGUGUAGUAUAUAACUCCAGUGUAGUGUAUAACCCCAGUGUAGUGUAUAACUCCAGUGUAGUAUAUAACUCCAGUGUAGUGUAUAACUCCAGUGUAGUAUAUAAUAACUACAGUGUAGUAUAUAAUAACGCCAGUGUAGUAUAUAACACCAGUGUAGUAUAUAACUCCAGUGUAGUAUAUAAUAACUCCAGUGUAGUGUAUAAUAACUCCAGUGUAGUGUAUAAUAACUCCAGUGUAGUAUAUAAGUCCAGUGUAGUGUAUAACUCCAGUGUAGUGUAUAACCCCAGUGUAGUGUAUAACUCCAGUGUAGUGUAUAACCCCAGUGUAGUGUAUAACUCCAGUGUAGUGUAUAACCCCAGUGUAGUGUAUAACUCCAGUGUAGUAUAUAACUCCAGUGUAGUGUAUAAUAACUACAGUGUAGUGUAUAACCCCAGUGUAGUGUAUAACUCCAGUGUAGUAUAUAACUCCAGUGUAGUGUAUAAUAACUCCAGUGUCUUGUAUAACUCCAGUGUAGUAUAUAACUCCAGUGUAGUGUAUAACCCCAGUGUAGUGUAUAACUCCAGUGUAGUAUAUAACUCCAGUGUAGUGUAUAAUAACUACAGUGUAGUGUAUAACCCCAGUGUAGUGUAUAACUCCAGUGUAGUAUAUAACUCCAGUGUAGUGUAUAACCCCAGUGUAGUGUAUAACUCCAGUGUAGUAUAUAACUCCAGUCUGGUGUACAACUCCAGUGUAGUAUAUAACUCCAGGGUAGUAUAUAACUCCAGUGUAGUGUAUAACUCCAGUGUAGUGUAUAACUCCAGUGUAGUGUAUAACCCCAGUGUAGUGUAUAACUCCAGUGUAGUAUAUAACUCCGGUGUAGUAUAUAACUCCAGUGUAGUAUAUAACUCCAGUGUAGUAUAUAACCCCAGUGUAGUGUAUAACCCCAGUGUAGUGUAUAACCCCAGUGUAGUAUAUAACUCCAGUGUAGUGUACAACUCCAGUGUAGUGUAUAACUCCAGUGUAGUGUAUAACCCCAGUGUAGUAUAUAACCCCAGUGUAGUGUAUAACCGCAGUGUAGUGUAUAACCCCAGUGUAGUGUAUAACCCCAGUGUAGUAUAUAACUCCGGUGUAGUAUAUAACUCCAGUGUAGUAUAUAACUCCAGUGUAGUAUAUAACCCCAGUGUAGUGUAUAACCCCAGUGUAGUGUAUAACCCCAGUGUAGUAUAUAACUCCAGUGUAGUGUACAACUCCAGUGUAGUGUAUAACCCCAGUGUAGUAUAUAACCCCAGUGUAGUGUAUAACCCCAGUGUAGUGUAUAACCCCAGUGUAGUGUAUAACCCCAGUGUAGUAUAUAACUCCAGUGUAGUGUACAACUCCAGUGUAGUGUACAACCCCAGUGUAGUGUAUAACCCCAGUGUAGUGUAUAACCCCAAUGUAGUGUAUAACCCCAGUGUAGUAUAUAACUCCAGUGUAGUGUACAACUCCAGUGUAGUGUACAACCCCAGUGUAGUGUAUAACCCCAGUGUAGUGUAUAACCCCAGUGUAGUAUAUAACUCUAGUGUAGUGUACAACUCCAGUGUAGUGUAUAACCCCAGUGUAGUGUACAACCCCAGUGUAGUGUACAACCCCAGUGUAGUGUACAACCCCAGUGUAGUGUAUAACUCCAGCCCAGUCUGCUGA